This 487-nucleotide ribosomal RNA is filed under the name Streptomyces hundungensis. RNAcentral's name for it is "bacterial SSU rRNA". It matches the Rfam family "Bacterial small subunit ribosomal RNA", at positions 128 to 629 of the family's 1533-position model. The record is from RNAcentral. Lineage: Bacteria; Bacillati; Actinomycetota; Actinomycetes; Kitasatosporales; Streptomycetaceae.
GCCCUUCACUCUGGGACAAGCCCUGGAAACGGGGUCUAAUACCGGAUAACACUCCUCAGGGCAUCUUGGGGGGUUAAAAGCUCCGGCGGUGAAGGAUGAGCCCGCGGCCUAUCAGCUUGUUGGUGGGGUGAUGGCCUACCAAGGCGACGACGGGUAGCCGGCCUGAGAGGGCGACCGGCCACACUGGGACUGAGACACGGCCCAGACUCCUACGGGAGGCAGCAGUGGGGAAUAUUGCACAAUGGGCGAAAGCCUGAUGCAGCGACGCCGCGUGAGGGAUGACGGCCUUCGGGUUGUAAACCUCUUUCAGCAGGGAAGAAGCGAAAGUGACGGUACCUGCAGAAGAAGCGCCGGCUAACUACGUGCCAGCAGCCGCGGUAAUACGUAGGGCGCAAGCGUUGUCCGGAAUUAUUGGGCGUAAAGAGCUCGUAGGCGGCUUGUCACGUCGGAUGUGAAAGCCCGGGGCUUAACCCCGGGUCUGCAUUCG